GAUGAACGCUGGCGGCGUGCCUAAUACAUGCAAGUCGAGCGAACAGACGAGGAGCUUGCUCCUCUGACGUUAGCGGCGGACGGGUGAGUAACACGUGGAUAACCUACCUAUAAGACUGGGAUAACUUCGGGAAACCGGAGCUAAUACCGGAUAAUAUAUUGAACCGCAUGGUUCAAUAGUGAAAGACGGCUUUGCUGUCACUUAUAGAUGGAUCCGCGCCGCAUUAGCUAGUUGGUAAGGUAACGGCUUACCAAGGCAACGAUGCGUAGCCGACCUGAGAGGGUGAUCGGCCACACGGGAACUGAGCCACGGUCCAGACUCCUACGGGAGGCAGCAGUAGGGAAUCGUCGGCAAUGGGCGAAAGCUUGACGGAGCAACGCCGCGUGAGUGACGAAGGUCUUCGGAUCGUAAAACUCUGUUAUUAGGGAAGAACAAAUGUGUAAGUAACUAUGCACGUCUUGACGGUACCUAAUCAGAAAGCCACGGCUAACUACGUG
This 497-nucleotide ribosomal RNA is filed under the name uncultured bacterium. Its description in RNAcentral is "partial 16S ribosomal RNA". It matches the Rfam family "Bacterial small subunit ribosomal RNA", at positions 28 to 507 of the family's 1533-position model. The record is from RNAcentral.